RNA transcript from Mauremys reevesii (Reeves's turtle), 6067 nucleotides. It is a transcript of the gene named zinc finger protein 501-like, with no coding region annotated. The transcript has 4 exons. Lineage: Eukaryota; Metazoa; Chordata; Testudines; Geoemydidae. The record is from RefSeq and is a predicted model, not a curated record.
ACACCCCCGGGCUGGCGGGGUCUGUGUCUCAUGAGUUUUGGGGUCUGCCCGGGGCCCUGGUCUGAUUUCUGGGCAGGAUUCACAUCUCAGCCCCACCGGAGUCACUGCUGCUUUGGGCAGGCAGGGAGUGUGGAUGGGCCACUGGGCUCAGCCUCUGCCUGCCUGUCCCUGGGGGCUGCUGCAGGAGUCCAGGGCAGCUCGUUCUUCAGGUGAUGCCACAAGAGGGCUCCGUCUGUUCCUCAGGGACAGGAGUUUACAGGGCAGUGCGGAGAAAUCACCCAACGUGGCCCCUUUAGUUCUGCUUUUUUUUCUAGCAUUUGCCUCAGAGAAGCCGUUACUGGGAGGGUCUGAAGAGCCUGGGGGGAAUCCGGGUGUGACAUGGACUGAAGCCCCUUCUGUAACCUCCCCCAUCACCCCGACAGGCUGAGGAAUCACGUUAAUCUUUCGAUCCAGAUGGGCCCGUCUUCCAGGAUGCAGGGAAGGGAAAUGUCUGUGAUGGAGCCAGCUGGGCUAGGGGAUUUUCAGGGAGCUCCCGGGAGGACGGGGGCACGAAGGAGACAGGGUGUGAUAAACCUACUGAUUUUCUGAGUGGGCCCAUUGGUGAUGGGGGAGGGGAGAUUGGACAUUCCCCCAUUUCUCAAACAGGAUACAACUCCCUUGCACUGGGCUGGGAACAUUUUCCAGGUUCCCAGUGCUGGAGUGAGACCCUGCAAGCCUGAGGCUGCUAUGAAAUACGCAGGGAAACUGUCAGGAUUCCUGUCCCCGUCCCUGGCUCAGAGCUCUGCUUUCUGUAUCAGCCUGUGUCUGGAAGGAAUGUGGAAAAUGAGAAGACCCUGCCCUGCUCUGCUCUGUGUGCUGGGGGGACAAGGAGCUCUCACCUUCUCCCACCCCCUGAAGUCUCCUGUCUGCCCUGAGCAGGGUGGGGUGGGAUUCUGCUACUCUGGCCCUCCCAGAGCUUCCAUUUCUUUAUCCUUCCUCCCACAUGACUAGUGGGAUUGUGGCUGGAGCAGCAGGUAAUGACCGGGGCCUUUUGGUGUUUCAGAUGCCAGUGACCUUCGAGGAGGUGGCUGUGUAUUUCACCCAGGGGCAGGGGGCUCUGCUGGACCCUGCUCAGAGAGCCCUCUACAGGGACGUCAUGCAGGAGAAUUAUGAGACAGUGACCUCGCUGGGAUUUCCCAUUCCCAAACCUGAGCUGAUUGUCCGGCUGGAACAAGGGGAAGAGCCGUGGGUGCCCGAUCUUCAGGCCUGCGAGGAAAGAAGGCUUUCUAGAUGCCCCCAUACAGCAGGUGCUGAGCGAGGGAGUGAGAAUGAGGAGGGGAAUCAUCAUGAGGAAGUUCCUGGGGAAGUGGAACCACAGGGGACCUUUGUGGAAAAAGCUGAAGGGAAUUUUCCCCAGUGCUUCGAACUCGAAGAAUCCUGGGGAAGUUGGCACAGGUCAGAGAGGCUCCUGGGAAACCACCCAGGGAAGAAAGUGGAUGAAUCUAUUAACAGUGCGGGAGGAGAGGAGGAUCCCAUGGAAGAGACACCCUGGCACUACCUUCAGUAUGGGAAAGGAUUAAUUGUGAGCUCACAGCUUGUGACACAUCAGACAAUCCUCACUGGAGAGAAACCCCUUCAAUGCUUGGACCAUGGAGAAAGCUUUAAUAAGCUCUCAGAUCUUAAUAACCACGGGAGAAGCCACACUGUAGAGAAACCCUCUCAAACCCUCGAGUGCGGGAAAUGUUUCAUUUCGAAGACACAAAUAAUUAGACAUGAGUUAAGCCACACAGGGGAGAGAUCCCAUAAGUGCUUGGACUGUGGGAAAAGUUUCAUACAGAGGUCACACCUUGUUAAACAUCAGGCAAUCCACACAGGAGAAAGACCCCACAAAUGCUUGGACUGUGGGAAAAGUUUCAUAAGAAGGUCACACCUUGUUCAACACCAGGCAAUCCACACAGGAGAGAGACCCCACAAGUGCUUGGAGUGUGGGAAAUGUUUCACAGAGAGGUCAAACCUUGUUAAACAUCAGGCAAUCCACACAGGAGAGAGACCCCACAAGUGCUUGGACUGUGGGAAAACUUUCAUACAGAGGUCACACCUAGUUCGUCAUCAGGCAAUCCACACAGGAGAGAGACCCCACAAGUGCUUCGACUUCGGCGAAAGUUUCAUAAGAAGGUCACACCUUGUUCAACAUCAGGCAAUGCACCCAGGAGAGAGACCCCACAAGUGCUUGGACUGUGGGAAAAGUUUCAAAAGAAGGUAUCACCUUGUUCAACAUCAAGCAAUCCACACAGGAGAGAGACCGCACAAGUGCCUGGAGUGUGGAAAAUGUUUCACAGAGAGGUCAAACCUUGUUAAACAUCAGGCAAUCCACACAGGAGUGAGACCCUACAAGUGUUUGGACUGUGGGAAAAGUUUCAGAAGAAAGUCAAACCUUCUUAAACAUCAGGAAAUCCACACAGGAGAAAGACUCCGCAAGUGCUUGGAGUGUGGGAAAAGUUUCGUAAGAAAGUUAACUCUUGUUGAACAUCAGGCAUUACACACAGGAGCCAGACCCCACAGGUUCUUGGACUUAGGGGAAAGUUUCAUAAGAAGCUCACAUCUUGUUCAACAUCAGGCAGUCCACCCAGGAGAGAGACCCCACAAGUGCUUGGACUGUGGGAAAAGUUUCAAAAGAAGGUAUCACCUUGUUCAACAUCAGGCAAUACACACAGGAGAGAGACCCCACAAGUGCUUGGAGUGUGGGAAAUGUUUCACAGAGAGGUCAAACCUUGUUAGACAUCAGGCAAUCCAUACAGGAGAGAGACCCCACAAGUGCUUGGACUGUGGGAAAAGUUUCAGAAGAAAGUCAAGCCUUGUUUAUCAUCAGGUAGUCCACACAAGAGAGACUCCAGAGGUGCUUGGACCGUGGGAAAAGUUUCAUACAGAGGUCACACCUUGUUAAACAUCAGGCAAUCCACACAGAAGAGAGACCCCAGAAGUGCUUGGAGUGUGGGAAAAAUUUCAUACAGUUGUCACACCUAGUUCGUCAUCAGGCAUUACACACAGGAGAGAGACCCCUCAAGUGCUUGGACUGUGGGAAAGGUUUCAAAAGAAGGUCUCACCUUGUUCAACAUCAGGCAAUCCACACAGGAGUUAGACCCUACAAGUACUUGGACUGUGGGGAAAUGUUUCAUAUCGAGGUCUGACCUCAUUAAACAUGGAAGAAUCCACACAGGAUCUAAACUUCUGUGACAUAUGGCAAGAAAGGAUUAAGCAAGUUGCAUGUAAUUGAUUCGAUGGGGGUAGGGGCUGAAAGAUGGAGAGAAUGUUUAUAGCUGAAAUCACCAAAAUAUGUUUUGCAAGGUUAGUGUUAAUCGGAUCUGUUCCGCUCUCCUGCUCGGACAUUUUCUCUGGGGAUCCCAGAGAUGGAAAGGAGCAAGUGUUACCAUCUUGGCUACCAAUCCCCACGGUGACUCUCUACACUAGCAAUUCUCAAACUUUGGGCUGAGCCUCCCAAUGGAGGGACAGGAAUGUGUCAAGGGAGGCGUGAUCAGUGUAGGUUGUUUGUUUUUUAAAGAGCACUGGCUGUCGGCCCCAGGUGGUUGGGGCUCAUGAAGAAGGAACAGGCCCAUCUGGGAGGUGGGGAUAAAUGCUCACGCUCUGAAACCCAUGUGGAGCAGCAGCACAGAAGUAGGGGUGUCCUCUCCCUUCUCUACAGAAGGCAAGAACAUGACUUGAAAGGCAGCAGGGGCCGUGGAGUGGACAGGACAGACCAAGGCUGUGAACUGCCUGCAACAGGUGGAGCAGCAGCACAGAAGUAGGUGUCAAUGGGGUGAUAAGUCUGCUGUGAACAGCGAUAUUGAGGAAUAUCACUUUUCAUAUGGCCACCCUCACUUCUGUGCUGCUAUUGGAGGGCUUCAGAGCUGGGCGCAUCGCCAGCAACUGCUCUGCCGUUAGAGCUGGGUGGCCAUAUAUAUGCUUGUGAGGGUGGGGGCAUAAUGACCAAAAACACAAAGAAUGCCGGUGGGUGGGGGGGCGCGGUGGAGCUGAUUAAACGCAUUUGAGAACCACUGGUCUACACUAUUAUGGUCACCACAUUCAUAAAAUGAUAAAUCUUCUCCUGCUGAAUAUGAUUGUCCCAUUAAAAUGUGUCUAUCAGCACUGUCCAUGGAGCUCGGAGAGUUUGCUGUAUGCUUGUUACCUGCACACCAGCUAGGUGCUAAGUGGCUAGUAAUUGCUCAGCCGGCCCUUCAGCAGCUGUGGAGCUGAGAAUAAGAGAGUUACAAUUCACCGGAAGGACGGCUGGACGCUCACUUAGGCCACAGACUGAUUGUCGCCUGCCCCCCGGCUGGGGGGUGAACCUCAAAGAGGAGAGUGGUACAAAAGCACAAGAGAGAAUUGCCUCCAUUGUCACCUCUCCUUUCCCAUCUUUUCAGAAGGCAAGAAUCCGCCUUGAAAGACAACAGGGGCCGUGGAGUGGGGAGGACAGACCAAGGCUGGAAGGAAUCCAGCCUGGGUACUCAGAGCUGUGAACUGCCUGCAACAGCAGGUGGGGUGCAAAAACCUCCUUGCUUCACAUUUUCCUUAAAUUGGUAAAAUUUAGGAUUUAAAAUGCAUUUUAUAAUUUUAUAGUUUUAACCGGUUCUGACCUUUGACAUGUUUCUCCCUCGUAAUCCCUGAAAACCCCCUUGCUCCACUUAGUAAAGUGGUUGUAGUUUUUUGUCUGGACCUGUGUGUUUUCAUGGAAGUGUUUGGGGGAUUUGACUGGAGAGAACAAGGCUGUGGCCUAAUCCGGCCCCUCUGUGGGGGUGACCCACUAAUGACUGAGUUUGUCCAGCCCAGUGACCAGACUGAGCUGUGGAAGAUGCACAUUCCUGGAGCGCAAGGCUGGGAGGAGAAAACUGGCUGAUGUUGCUGUUUUAGGAGUAAAGCAACAACUGCCGAUCCCCUGCCAUCCUCAAUCGUCAGGGGCAGUAGAAAGGAUGGAUCAGACUAUCAAGCAAGCCCUUCGCAAAGUGGUGCACGUCACUGACAAAGGUUGGGACAAUAAAUUACCCAUGGCGUUGGCAGCCAUCGGAGCAAUGAGGGAUUGGAUACUGACUAGCAGCCGUAUCCCAUUCUCUGUGGAAGGUCUGUGAGCUUGUGGAACCCUUUAGUGUGGAACCCUUUAUUAUAUGGAGGAGGAGGAGGAGUCGCUGUUGUCCUGGGCCUUCAUCAGCAACUCCAAGGAGCCAGUCUUGGGCAGGAAGCCAGAAUCCAAGCCGUGCCAUUUUCUGCAGUUCUUACACAGUUUUAAAGCCGUCCCGCUGGUGUUAUUUCCUUUCUUGCCGAUUCUUCAUUUUUUUCCAGGGACAUGACAAAACUGGUUUUUUAUAAGCAGUUCUUUUUGACCAAUUCACCCUUCAGUUCUCGCUUUCCAGCCACACUAGGUUGCAAGACCUAUAACAUGUUACAUGGCUAGAUGGGUUAUAUAUGUACAUAUCCCAACAUUGCCUGCGUCUCCCAAGGGGGCUCAGUGACCCUGUUCCCAUCCUCUGGAAUUGAAUUAUCCCUCAGCUGGCUGGCUGAGGGCUCUGGCUCUACCCAGCGCCCCCCUCACUUCCUCCUGGGAGCUCAGAGCUGCGCGGAGCCCCUCCCUGCCUGUGGUGGGGGCCCUAUGAGACCAGCCAGCGCCAGGAGCAAAAGUUUUUAGCAUGUGAGUGAGCAGGGCUGGGGGAGUCAGGCCUGGCAGGGGGGUUGAGCGAGGCUGGGAACAGGCGCUGGAGGCUGGGAAGAGGGCUGGUGGAGCCGAGCUUGGUAGAGCCGGGCAUGGGACUUUGUGAAGUGAAAGAGGAGGAACCAGGCUAGGGAUUGCUGGGGCGAGCCGGGCUGGAAAAGGAAAAGAGCAAGGAGGGGUGUCUUUGUCUGACUCAGUGAGCUAGCAACCAUAGGGGCUGACUACAUGAGUGUUCUGGGGCUGGAGCACCCACGUGGAAAAAUUGGAGGGUGCUCUGCACCCACGGGCAGCCAAGCUCCCUGCCCCAGCUCACCUUGCUUCCGCCUUCUCCACUGAGCGUGCAGCAUCUCUGCUUCCCCUCUCAGCGCUUGCCGCCACAAAAGAGCUGUU